UUUAAUGAGAGUUUGAUCCUGGCUCAGGACGAACGCUGGCGGCGUGCCUAAUACAUGCAAGUAGAACGCUGAAGGAGGAGCUUGCUUCUCUGGAUGAGUUGCGAACGGGUGAGUAACGCGUAGGUAACCUGCCUGGUANCGGGGGAUAACU
This is a non-coding RNA of Streptococcus pneumoniae 2070335, 151 nucleotides long. The record is from Rfam. NCBI's taxonomy places the organism in Bacteria, Bacillati, Bacillota, Bacilli, Lactobacillales, Streptococcaceae.